This 498-nucleotide ribosomal RNA is filed under the name uncultured bacterium. RNAcentral describes it as "partial 16S ribosomal RNA". It matches the Rfam family "Bacterial small subunit ribosomal RNA", at positions 30 to 523 of the family's 1533-position model. The record is from RNAcentral.
AUUGAACGCUGGCGGCAUGCCUUACACAUGCAAGUCGAACGGUAACAGGUCUUCGGAUGCUGACGAGUGGCGAACGGGUGAGUAAUACAUCGGAACGUGCCUAGUAGUGGGGGAUAACUACUCGAAAGAGUGGCUAAUACCGCAUGAGAUCUACGGAUGAAAGCAGGGGAUCGCAAGACCUUGUGCUACUAGAGCGGCCGAUGGCAGAUUAGGUAGUUGGUGGGAUAAAAGCUUACCAAGCCGACGAUCUGUAGCUGGUCUGAGAGGACGAUCAGCCAAACUGGGACUGAGACACGGCCCAGACUCCUACGGGAGGCAGCAGUGGGGAAUUUUGGACAAUGGGCGAAAGCCUGAUUCAGCAAUGCCGCGUGCAGGAUGAAGGCCUUCGGGUUGUAAACCGCUUUUGUACGGAACGAAAAGCCCCGGGUUAAUACCCUGGGGUCAUGACGGUACCGUAAGAAUAAGCACCGGCUAACUACGUGCCAGCAGCCGCCGUAA